Molecule: long non-coding RNA, 322 nt
Filed under: Homo sapiens (human)
Lineage: Eukaryota; Metazoa; Chordata; Mammalia; Primates; Hominidae
Description: non-protein coding LINC00174:16
Source: RNAcentral
CUGCUUUCAUCACUACACCUCCCACCGCUCUCCAUCACCUGCUCUGCUCUUAUAAGGAUCCAGAGAAAUGGAAUAAUCUUAUUGCUGAUCUAUGUAAACAAGUUGAAGAAUUGUCUGAAAGAAAAUACAGUGUGUCUAAACUGGAAAAGUCCUGUAAUAGUUUGUUCAUGAGCAUUUACACAGUGGAGUUACUGUUCAUCAUGGGGGUACUGUGGACAAGCCCAGGGCUGCUGUAGAGACAAGAGUUUUUCCAUGUAGGCCCGGCUGGCCUCGAACUCCUGACCUCAAGUGAUCCACCUGCCUCCCAAAGUGGGAUUACAGA